GAUGAACGCUGGCGGCGUGCCUAAUACAUGCAAGUCGAGCGAACGGACGAGAAGCUUGCUUUUCUGAUGUUAGCGGCGGACGGGUGAGUAACACGUGGAUAACCUACCUAUAAGACUGGGAUAACUUCGGGAAACCGGAGCUAAUACCGGAUAAUAUUUUGAACCGCAUGGUUCAAAAGUGAAAGACGGUCUUGCUGUCACUUAUAGAUGGAUCCGCGCUGCAUUAGCUAGUUGGUAAGGUAACGGCUUACCAAGGCAACGAUGCAUAGCCGACCUGAGAGGGUGAUCGGCCACACUGGAACUGGGACACGGUCCAGACUCCUACGGGAGGCAGCAGCAGGGAAUCUGCCGCAGUGGGCGAAAGCCUGACGGAGCAACGCCGCGUGAGUGAUGAAGGUCUUCGGAUCGUAAAACUCUGUUAUUAGGGAAGAACAUAUGUGUAAGUAACUGUGCGCAUCUUGACGGUACCUAAUCAGAAAGCCACGGCUAACUACGUG
Molecule: ribosomal RNA, 497 nt
Filed under: uncultured bacterium
Lineage: Bacteria
Description: partial 16S ribosomal RNA
Rfam family: Bacterial small subunit ribosomal RNA
Source: RNAcentral